GGGCGGAGCAAAGUGUGUGUGCAGGAGAGGAGUCGAGCAGAGAGAGCUGCUUUUUCAUGAAACGGGAGGAAAGUAGUGAACUUACAGGAACAAAUACCACUACCAACGUUUGGAUCGAUAUCUGCAUCGAUCUGCACACCCUUGUCUCCUGGAUUGUAGCUGAGAUCAGCGUGAACCACGUGGGUCUCUGCUCCCUGAUCUGUUUCCUUUUUGGAAAGACUUCCAGCUUCAUCGCGGAGUUUCUCUCGGUUUGUGGGCUCAUCUAAAGCUGAGUAACAGGAGGAGAAGAGUCUGGUGGUGCAGCAGAGGAA
Long non-coding RNA from Oreochromis niloticus (Nile tilapia), 311 nucleotides. RefSeq lists it as uncharacterized. The transcript is spliced from 2 exons. The record is from RefSeq and is a predicted model, not a curated record. Lineage: Eukaryota; Metazoa; Chordata; Actinopteri; Cichliformes; Cichlidae.